CCCUUAGAUGUUCGGGGCCGCACGCGCGCUACACUGAAGGACUCAGCGUGUCUCUCCCCCUAUCCCGAAAGGGAUGGGCAACCCGUUGAACCCCCUUCGUGCUAGGGAUUGGGGUUUGCAAUUAUCCCCCAUGAACGAGGAAUUCCCAGUAAGCGCGAGUCAUCAGCUCGCGUUGAUUACGUCCCUGCCCUUUGUACACACCGCCCGUCGCUACUACCGAUUGGAUGGUUUAGUGAGACCCUCGGAUCGGUCCCGACUCGGGGUGGGCUUCUGCCCCGGUCGUGGUUUCGCCGAGAAGACGGUCAAACUUGACUAUCUAGAGGAAGUAAAAGUCGUAACA
RNAcentral lists this ribosomal RNA (340 nucleotides) under uncultured eukaryote. Its description in RNAcentral is "partial 18S ribosomal RNA". It matches the Rfam family "Eukaryotic small subunit ribosomal RNA", at positions 1470 to 1796 of the family's 1831-position model. The record is from RNAcentral.